RNAcentral lists this ribosomal RNA (498 nucleotides) under Veillonella dispar. RNAcentral's name for it is "bacterial SSU rRNA". It matches the Rfam family "Bacterial small subunit ribosomal RNA", at positions 28 to 495 of the family's 1533-position model. Lineage: Bacteria; Bacillati; Bacillota; Negativicutes; Veillonellales; Veillonellaceae. The record is from RNAcentral.
GACGAACGCUGGCGGCGUGCUUAACACAUGCAAGUCGAACGAAGAGCGAUGGAAGCUUGCUUCUAUCAAUCUUAGUGGCGAACGGGUGAGUAACGCGUAAUCAACCUGCCCUUCAGAGGGGGACAACAGUUGGAAACGACUGCUAAUACCGCAUACGAUCUAACCUUGGCAUCGAGGAUGGAUGAAAGGUGGCCUCUAUUUAUAAGCUAUCACUGAAGGAGGGGAUUGCGUCUGAUUAGCUAGUUGGAGGGGUAACGGCCCACCAAGGCGAUGAUCAGUAGCCGGUCUGAGAGGAUGAACGGCCACAUUGGGACUGAGACACGGCCCAGACUCCUACGGGAGGCAGCAGUGGGGAAUCUUCCGCAAUGGACGAAAGUCUGACGGAGCAACGCCGCGUGAGUGAUGACGGCCUUCGGGUUGUAAAGCUCUGUUAAUCGGGACGAAAGGCCUUCUUGCGAAUAGUUAGAAGGAUUGACGGUACCGGAAUAGAAAGCCCGG